Molecule: long non-coding RNA, 297 nt
Organism: Varroa destructor (honeybee mite)
Lineage: Eukaryota; Metazoa; Arthropoda; Arachnida; Mesostigmata; Varroidae
Source: RefSeq, a predicted model, not a curated record
UCUUUUAUGAAUCGGUGUUUGUGCACCGUCGGUCAUGAGGGCCAAGUGGCGUAAGAAGCGAAUGCGCAGGCUGAAGCGUAAGCGCAGGAAGAUGAGGGAAAGGUCGAAGUAGACGUUAUCAGAGUUGCUCCAAAUUUGGACUCCAAAUGCCUCUUGGAAGAACUGAGGAUGCCGGAGACAUAGCCGCACCGGAAACGGCCGUAUGAAGACUCAAAUCGAAGUCAGAUGAGGAUUUCCAUUUUCGGCGACAUCAGACUGUAUAGAAAUAAAUACAAGGCUAUUUGGGAGCACGGGAAA